Molecule: ribosomal RNA, 247 nt
Filed under: uncultured bacterium
Lineage: Bacteria
Description: partial 16S ribosomal RNA
Rfam family: Bacterial small subunit ribosomal RNA
Source: RNAcentral
AUACGUAGGGGGCGAGCGUUGUCCGGAAUUACUGGGCGUAAAGGGUGCGUAGGUGGCAAUUUAAGUUGGAUGUGAAAUCCCCGGGCUUAACCUGGGUGGUGCAUUCAAAACUGGAUAGCUAGAGUGCAGGAGAGGGAAGCGGAAUUCCUAGUGUAGGAGUGAAAUCCGUAGAUAUUACGAGGAACUCCGAUUGCGCAGGCAGCUUACUAAACCACUACUGACGCUCAUGCACGAAGGCGUGGGGAUC